AUUGAACGCUGGCGGCAGGCCUAACACAUGCAAGUCGAGCGGAUGAAGGGAGCUUGCUCCUGGAUUCAGCGGCGGACGGGUGAGUAAUGCCUAGGAAUCUCCCUGGUAGUGGGGGAUAACGUCCGGAAACGGGCGCUAAUACCGCAUACGUCCUGAGGGAGAAAGUGGGGGAUCUUCGGACCUCACGCUAUCAGAUGAGCCUAGGUCGGAUUAGCUAGUUGGUGGGGUAAAGGCCUACCAAGGCGACGAUCCGUAACUGGUCUGAGAGGAUGAUCAGUCACACUGGAACUGAGACACGGUCCAGACUCCUACGGGAGGCAGCAGUGGGGAAUAUUGGACAAUGGGCGAAAGCCUGAUCCAGCCAUGCCGCGUGUGUGAAGAAGGUCUUCGGAUUGUAAAGCACUUUAAGUUGGGAGGAAGGGCAGUAAGUUAAUACCUUGCUGUUUUGACGUUACCAACAGAAUAAGCACCGGCUAACUUCGUG
This 484-nucleotide ribosomal RNA is filed under the name uncultured bacterium. Its description in RNAcentral is "partial 16S ribosomal RNA". It matches the Rfam family "Bacterial small subunit ribosomal RNA", at positions 30 to 507 of the family's 1533-position model. The record is from RNAcentral.